GUGCUUGCUUUGGCAGCACAUGUACUAAAAUCGGAAUGAUACAGAGAAGAUUAGCAUGGCCCCCGUGCAAGGAUGAUACGCACAUCCAUGAAGCACUCCAUAAAAAG
Small nuclear RNA from Nycticebus coucang (slow loris), 107 nucleotides. NCBI's taxonomy places the organism in Eukaryota, Metazoa, Chordata, Mammalia, Primates, Lorisidae. The record is from RefSeq and is a predicted model, not a curated record.